GGGGUGGGGAUCUGGACUGUUUACAGGAUAAUAGGACAUUCUCAAAUUGAACAGGGUGGGGGUGACCCCAAGGAACUUCCAUCUACUUACAUGUGAUUUGUUUCAUUGUCCCAUACAAGAAUAUAUAUGGUUUAGGGUGGGGAUCUGGACCGUUUACAAGUUUUCAAACAAGAGGGGGUGGGGUGACCCCCUAGGGACUUCUCUUUUAUUUCAUUUGAUUUGUUUUAUUGUCCCCUACAAGAAUAUAUAUGGUUUAGGGGUGGGGAUCUGGACCGUUUACAAGUUUUCCAACAAGGGGGGGGUG
This 304-nucleotide long non-coding RNA is filed under the name Mytilus galloprovincialis (Mediterranean mussel). The record is from RNAcentral. Lineage: Eukaryota; Metazoa; Mollusca; Bivalvia; Mytilida; Mytilidae.